CGCUAUGGCGGCUGUGCGUGGGACACCUUCGGGUGUGCCGGUUCCCGUGUGUGCCGGUCGGCCAACCCGCGUACAGUCGCCCCCAUC
RNAcentral lists this non-coding RNA (87 nucleotides) under Chromohalobacter canadensis. Lineage: Bacteria; Pseudomonadati; Pseudomonadota; Gammaproteobacteria; Oceanospirillales; Halomonadaceae. The record is from RNAcentral.